UACGUAGGGUCCAAGCGUUAAUCGGAAUUACUGGGCGUAAAGCGCCCGUAGGCGGCCUGACAAGUUGGACGUGAAAGCUCCUGGCUUAACUGGGAGAGGCCGUUCAAAACUGUCAAGCUAGAGUCUGGAAGAGGAGAGCGGAAUUCCCGGUGUAGUGGUGGAAUGCGUAGAGAUCGGGAGGAACACCAGUGGCGAAAGCGGCUCUCUGGUCCAAAACUGACGCUGAGGGGCGAAAGCGUGGGGAGCGAACGGG
RNAcentral lists this ribosomal RNA (253 nucleotides) under uncultured bacterium. RNAcentral's name for it is "partial 16S ribosomal RNA". It matches the Rfam family "Bacterial small subunit ribosomal RNA", at positions 524 to 776 of the family's 1533-position model. The record is from RNAcentral.